CAAUACCAACCGGCGAACGGGUGCGUAACACGUGAGCAACCUACCGAUUUGAGGGGGAUAGCUGGCCUAACGGCCAGGUAAUACCGCAUACGCUCUUGAGGUCACCUGACCUCUUGAGGAAACCUCCGGGGCAGAUCGAGGGGCUCGCGGCCUAUCAGCUAGUUGGCGAGGUCACGGCUCACCAAGGCGACGACGGGUAGCUGGUCUGAGAGGAUGGCCAGCCACAUUGGGACUGAGAAACGGCCCAGACUCCUACGGGAGGCAGCAGUGGGGAAUCUUGCGCAAUGGGCGAAAGCCUGACGCAGCGACGCCGCGUGGGGGAUGACGGGUUUCGGCUUGUAAACCCCUGUUGCCCGGGACGAACUUCUCCUUUCGAGGAGAUUGACGGUACCGGGUGAGGAAGCACCGGCUAACUCUGUGCCAGCAGCCGCGGUAAUACAGAGGGUGCGAGCGUUGUCCGGAAUCACUGGGCGUAAAGGGCGCGUAGGUGGCGACCCAAGUCGAUGGUGAAAGCUCGUCGCUCAACGACGAGUCGGCCACCGAUACUGGGUUGCUCGAGCACUGUAGAGGCAGAUGGAAUUCCGGGUGUAGCGGUGGAAUGCGUAGAGAUCCGGAAGAACACCGGUGGCGAAGGCGGUCUGCUGGGCAGUAGCUGACACUGAGGCGCGACAGCGUGGGGAGCAAACAGGAUUAGAUACCCUGGUAGUCCACGCCGUAAACGAUGGGCACUAGAUGCUUGGGGGAGCGACCCCCUGAGUGUCGUCGCUAACGCAGUAAGUGCCCCGCCUGGGGAGUACGGCCGCAAGGCUGAAACUCAA
RNAcentral lists this ribosomal RNA (818 nucleotides) under uncultured Gemmatimonadota bacterium. RNAcentral describes it as "bacterial SSU rRNA". It matches the Rfam family "Bacterial small subunit ribosomal RNA", at positions 86 to 904 of the family's 1533-position model. Lineage: Bacteria; Pseudomonadati; Gemmatimonadota. The record is from RNAcentral.